AAAGGUGGGGGAUGACGUCAAAAUCAUCAUGCCCCCUUAUGACUCGGCGUACACACGUGUCUACAAUGGCUGUACAACGAAGUCGCGAGUCGGUGACGGCAAGCUAAUCUACUUAAAGCCAGUCUCAGUUCGGUAUUGUUAGGCUGCAACUCGCCUACAUGAAGUCGGAAUCGCUAGUAAAUCGCGGAUCAGCACGCCGCGGUGAAUACGUUCCCGGGCCUUGACACCNCCGCCCUCACCACCAGAGAGUUUGAACACCCGAAGUCGGUGAGGUAACCAUUUGGCGCCCAGGUCAGUAAGGGGCAUGAUGAUUUUGACUUCACUCCCCACCUUUGUCGUGGGGAGGCAAGGCACANAGGGGGA
Molecule: ribosomal RNA, 363 nt
Filed under: uncultured bacterium
Lineage: Bacteria
Description: bacterial SSU rRNA
Rfam family: Bacterial small subunit ribosomal RNA (bases 1-223)
Source: RNAcentral